This is a non-coding RNA of Planktothrix tepida PCC 9214, 37 nucleotides long. The record is from Rfam. Lineage: Bacteria; Bacillati; Cyanobacteriota; Cyanophyceae; Oscillatoriales; Microcoleaceae.
GUUUAAACUACUAUUAAUCCCUAUCAGGGAUUGAAAC